CCUACGGGUGGCAGCAGUGGGGAAUAUUGGGCAAUGGGCGCAAGCCUGACCCAGCAACGCCGCGUGAAGGAAGAAGGCUUUCGGGUUGUAAACUUCUUUUGUCAGGGAAGAGUAGAAGACGGUACCUGACGAAUAAGCCACGGCUAACUACGUGCCAGCAGCCGCGGUAAUUCGUAGGUGGCAAGCGUUGUCCGGAUUUACUAGGUGUAAAGGGCGUGUAGCCGGGUUGACAAGUCAGCUGUGAAAGCCUUCGGCUUAACCGCAGAACUGCAUUUGAAACUGUUGAGCUUGAGUACUGGAGAGGCAGACGGAAUUCCUAGUGUAGCGGGGAAAUGCGUAGAUAGUAGGAGGAACACCAGUGGCGAAGGCGGUCUGCUGGACAGCAACUGACGGUGAGGCGCGAAAGCGUGGGGAGCAAACAGGAUUAGAUACCCCGGUAGUC
Molecule: ribosomal RNA, 442 nt
Filed under: uncultured bacterium
Lineage: Bacteria
Description: partial 16S ribosomal RNA
Rfam family: Bacterial small subunit ribosomal RNA
Source: RNAcentral